UCCCUUUUGAUUGUUUCAAUUUCAUACUCAUAUCUUUGGUGUUGAUUGAACAGUUCUUGUAUUGGGAUCACAAUUUAUUCAUAGCUGAUGGUUUUACUUGUACUCUUAUUUGCUACUUGUAGAACUUUUGUUUCAAUCAAAAAGAUCAAAUCAUUUAGAAUUUCCAUGGAUUUAUUACAUCGACUUGUCUUCAUUAAUAUUAAUAGGCUUUGUUUUCUCCAAUUCACUAAUGGCUUUUUCUUUUUCCGAUGUUAUUCCAUGGAAAUUUAUCAUAUUCAUAGCCCAUGUUUUAUUAGAUAUUUUUAUGUGCUGAUUGGAGAUUGCUAUGCUAGUUUUCUUUCUAUUAUUUAUAUGGCCAGUUACAGUGGUUCUAUUGGAGCUUCCAUAGCUGUAGCUCCAUAUUUUUUUGUUAUCUAUUUCAUUUCCAC
Molecule: unclassified non-coding RNA, 428 nt
Filed under: Hevea brasiliensis (rubber tree)
Lineage: Eukaryota; Viridiplantae; Streptophyta; Magnoliopsida; Malpighiales; Euphorbiaceae
Source: RNAcentral